GCUGAUAUGGCUCAGUUGGUAGAGCGCGCCCUUGGUAAGGGUGAGGUACCCAGUUCGUCUCUAGUCGUCAGCA
Molecule: transfer RNA, 73 nt
Filed under: Salmonella enterica subsp. enterica serovar Schwarzengrund
Lineage: Bacteria; Pseudomonadati; Pseudomonadota; Gammaproteobacteria; Enterobacterales; Enterobacteriaceae
Description: tRNA-Thr
Rfam family: tRNA
About the family: Transfer RNA (tRNA) molecules are approximately 80 nucleotides in length. Their secondary structure includes four short double-helical elements and three loops (D, anti-codon, and T loops).
Source: RNAcentral